GAUGAACGCUGGCGGCGUGCUUAACACAUGCAAGUCGAACGGUGAACACGGAGCUUGCUCUGUGGGAUCAGUGGCGAACGGGUGAGUAACACGUGAGCAACCUGCCCCUGACUCUGGGAUAAGCGCUGGAAACGGCGUCUAAUACUGGAUAUGUGACGUGACCGCAUGGUCUGCGUUUGGAAAGAUUGUUCGGUUGGGGAUGGGCUCGCGGCCUAUCAGCUUGUUGGUGGGGUAAUGGCUCACCAAGGCGUCGACGGGUAGCCGGCCUGAGAGGGUGACCGGCCACACUGGGAUUGAGACACGGCCCAGACUCCUACGGGAGGCAGCAGUGGGGAAUAUUGCACAAUGGGCGGAAGCCUGAUGCAGCAACGCCGCGUGAGGGAUGACGGCCUUCGGGUUGUAAACCUUUUUUAGCAGGGAAGAAGCGAAAGUGACGGUACCUGCAGAAAAAGCGCCGGCUAACUACGUG
This 469-nucleotide ribosomal RNA is filed under the name uncultured bacterium. RNAcentral describes it as "partial 16S ribosomal RNA". It matches the Rfam family "Bacterial small subunit ribosomal RNA", at positions 28 to 507 of the family's 1533-position model. The record is from RNAcentral.